Molecule: long non-coding RNA, 3982 nt
Filed under: Homo sapiens (human)
Lineage: Eukaryota; Metazoa; Chordata; Mammalia; Primates; Hominidae
Description: HSALNT0353244
Source: RNAcentral
UGGGUAGAGUGUUCAAUGUCCAUUUAAUUAAAUCACCAAAUAUUACGGCCCCAGCCUGUGAGGUUAUUGAGACCCCAGUGAAUAGCAGCAACCUAUUGGCUGCAGGAAAAUGGUACAACUCAGGAGUUUAAUCUGUUCUAUUCCCACAAUGUGUGCUUAUAACAAGGAGAGGAAGGAAAGCAAGAGAUGUUCUACCGUAUCUUGAUGAAUAUUACCUAGGAAUUACUCCUUCAUUUUCGAUCAACAGUGUCCCUAAAACUUCAUUGAAAGCAUAGACAUUUUAGUCAAUGAGCCACCAGAAGGGCAACCUCACCAGACCCUUGGACCUGACUCAUUCAGCCUUUGAGUCUUUAUCAGUCCCAUGUCCUCACUUGGUGAUCUUCACUGGUGAAACUGGGUCGUAAUAUGCUUGAGAAAAUGAGUGUGUCCCUUCAUCAGGGAGAUCACCAAGAGGGGCACAGGGCCUGGUGUGGCCUUGGAAAGUCAGGUUGUUGUGUAAGUGGAACCUAUGGGAGCAGCCUUUUGAAAAGGAAAAGUUGCAACAAUGUUGUAACACGAGUGCAAUAUGUGAGACUUUUGCAUAAUGAACACUUCAGUGCCUUACAAAACAACACAAAACAAAAAAAGGGAGUUGUGCUUUAGUUGAAAGAACUUGGGUGUUGGAUUUAGUAGACCUGAGUUCAUCUCCCACUCCCCUGUUACUUAGCCCUCUGGGUGACCUGGGGCAAGACACUGCAUCUCCCUGUGCCUGAAUUUCCACACCUGUCAAGGGGCAAUAAUGGUGCUGUUUUUGUAUUGUGUGUGGAUUUAAUUACAAUUGUAGGAUGUCAGGCACAAAGCUCAGCACAAAAUAACAGCUCAAUAAAUAGUGUGUCUCUGUGGCUGGUGGCCCAUUUAGCUGUCUCAUUUAUUCUACUUAAUAUUUUUGGCUGGGCGCCAUGGCUCACGCCUGUAAUCCCGGUAUUUUGAGGUGCUGAGGCAGGUGGAUUACCUGAGGUCAAGAGUUCGAGACCAGCCUGGCCAACACGGUGAAACUCCAUCUCUACUAAAAAAAAAAUACAAAAAUUAACCAGGUGUGGUGGCGGUUGUCUAUAAUCCCAGCUUGGGAGGCUCACGCAGAAGAACCACUUGAACCCGAAAAGUGAAGUUUGCAGUGAGCCGAGAUUGCACCACUGCACCCCAGCCUGGGUGACAGAGGCAGACUUCAUCGCUAAAAAACAAACAAACAAACAAACAAACAAAUGUAGAAUUUUCCUGUCCCUCCCUAGAAACUUUCAGUGCUGAAAGGACCCUCGGAGGUCAUCAAGUCCCACUGUCUUUGUUAGAUGAAGAAAUUCAGUCCAAGGAGGUUACGUGACUUGCUCGAGGCCACUCAGCUUUCUGACCCUGCUCCUCGAACCCUCCAUCAGACCUUUUGGAUGUGUCUGCUCUGCGGGCACAUCCUUCUAGGCUGAGCAGUGCUGACUCUAAUUUCAGACUCGUUUCGUAGUCUGUUGACAAUUACGUUGUCCAUCAUGCCAUUUAGAGCUCUGACUUUAUAGCUUUGGGAAGCACCUUAAAAUAUAAUUGCAAACACUCUGCCCAUCCAAAUGUGUACUUCCCAUGCCUAAUAAUGAGGCUUUUAAGUGGUGGCACAGGAGAGCGGCAAGAUGAUAGCUCAUGCGAAAUGAGAAAUUGGAGCAAAUGGGAUUUGGUAAUGGACUUUGCAGUGACACGAGUUGUCUGAUAGCUGGUCUGUGGUUAUCUUGGUACAUUUUGUAUUUUGAAAGGCACAAAAUGUCAGGUCAUUGCUCAAAUACUGGUUAAGAUUUUGAUUAUUUUGCAGAAUUGUAGCAUAGUACCUCAGGAUUGACAUUUUGCCCUCAAAAUUUUAUGUUCAAUGUUCCUGUCCUUUGUUUAGAAGUUGCACUUUCUAUUGUUUGUAAGUCUAUCAAAAAAAAAAUAGAAAGUUUUUCUUUCCUGUUGCCUAAAUGAUUUGAUUGUUUAGUUCUUGGAGUAGAAACACCAGCUGCCCUUAGCCUGGGUGCAAGCCAGCAGAGAAGGGGAAAGGAAUGCAAGAGUGAGUAAGAUGUGGCCCUUAUCCUCAAGGAAUUCAGAGUCCCAUGGGGGAGAUAGGCCUGGUUUCUAUAAACAAUGAUGCAAGACAGAACAUGAUGUGCCAGGAGGGACAGAGUGCCAAGGUGGGGACAAAGGAAUGACGAGUCCCGAAAUAGACCUGUGGGAAAGGUGUUGUGAUGCUGGGAGGCUGGACUGGAUCUUAAAGAAGGUGGGGAUUAUAACAUAUAGGGAAAGGGUGGCAGGCGGGGAGAUGGGGGCAGAGAGAGAGUAUAAGAAGGCAGGGAUUCCAGGCAAAGAGAAAAAGUUGAGCAGAGGGUGGAGGCUGGUAGGCGAGGAGAGGUAAAUGGGGUCCCUUCAUGAAAGGACUUGGAAGCCACGCUAUGGUGUUGUGUCCCUAGGUCAGUGGGGGGCUGUGGAUGGGUCUUAAGCAAGUUAAGUAACAGGAUUACAUUUAUGUUGUAGAAAGACAGGGAAUGGAUUGGCAUGGUAGAAACCUCUGAUUUUACUUCUGAUUCAACAACCAGCUGGGUUUCUUGGGUUUGCCCCUCAACUCCCCUCCUUGGGGACGAGUUCAUAUGUGACCCCCAUCUCCCUCUGUCUGAUAGCUGUCCUUGGGCAACACACCCACCAGGAGCUCGCGGAAACAGGACCAUUCUCUUGCAGGGCCAGAGCCCGUGGCAGCCUGUUCCCAAAGCCCAGAGGAAGGCAGACAGCUAUAAUCAUUUGGCAAACUAAGGUUACCACUGCUUCUAAGACAUAACAUGCUUGAAUUUAACAAACGUGUGCAAAUGAUAAUCUUGAAAUUUCAACUAAGGAUUCUAGGCUGGAUCAAUAUUGUCACAGAAUCACAGUUUUUGGAAGGUAGUUAGAUCUUCUAUACAUUGACAAUUAAUUUUCUUUCUCAACAGAACUGCAAACCAAUUCCCAAUUAAUGAAUUUGCUGAGUAGUUCCUCCCCAAGGAGAGUCAGUCUGGCAGAGACAUUCAGCUCUAGCUGAGGCCAGGCUAGAUCUGUUGGACCAGAGUCGACCUGCAGACCUGUGAACAUGAGCAUAAGUGUUCGCUGAGAGCCAAGGAGUUUUGGUGUGGUUUGUUACAAAGCUUUGUCCAGGCAGCAGCUGACUGAUUCCUGCCCUGGCAGAAAACUGGAGCACCCAUCUCUUUAUGUAGAAGCCAGUGUCCACAUCCUGCUCACAUUUGGGACAUCUGUGAGGCAGGGUGCCUCCUUUUUGUCCCUCCAAGAGGACAGUUGGGGGACUUGGCCUCUGGCCGCCUCAAGUUGGGUCAGCACCUGCUGGGCCUCAUCCUGGUUCAUCGUGCAUCAAUGGGAGCGCACCUGGGUUCUGCUGACAUGUGAGAGCUUCUUCACCGAGGGGUUCAGAAAAGUGUGCUCAUGGCCUGUAGAUCUGGAUUCAAAGGGAGAUGAGAAAAAUAGGAACUGAGCCCGUGGCUUGCCUCACCCACUUCCUGAGCCUGCGCAAGGGACAAGACUUUCCUGUGUGGCCUUCUUACGGCAGUCCACAGGGAAGUGGCCUCAUUUUCUGUGUCUGUCCUGCCCAGCGCCCCCACUCUCCUGUGCUGGUCCCAGGCCAUCCCUUAGCCAGAGUGCAGAACUCCAGACCCCCAAUAUUCUCUCAUAUCCUCAGAAUCUUCAGCUUCCAUCCAUGGAUGUUGGCUGAAUCCUGAGUGGGGUCGUAGAAAGAUCUGGUCCUGUGAGUAGGGGGGCGAGGAGGAAGGCAGGGACUUCAGCUGGGCUGUCUACAACCUGAGUCUAAAACACCUAAAGACAAGCACAACUUGCCCCCGCUAGGACGAAUUUCUUGCUCCAGACCGCCUCACUGCAUCUCUAGGGCCAUGUGUAUUCCUGCUAUUUGGCCACAUUCCUUGAGAAAAAUUGCCUAUUAAAAGAAUUUCCUUAUUCACCA